Molecule: long non-coding RNA, 308 nt
Filed under: Malus domestica (apple)
Lineage: Eukaryota; Viridiplantae; Streptophyta; Magnoliopsida; Rosales; Rosaceae
Description: long non-coding RNA (MDOM_LNC000157)
Source: RNAcentral
AAACGUCAAAACGUAAACUUUCGGGUCAAAGUACAAAUACACAAAAGUAUCAAAACUUUAUGUAAUUGCAUAAAAGCCCCAAAAUUACCCUAUUUUAUUAGGGUGGCCGGUUUUUAGGGAUAAAAUGGAGUGGUGGGUGUUUUGAUUUAUUAGUUUUGUCAAAAACAAUCAAGUAGUGCUUUCACCUUUCAUAAAAAUAAUAUAUGUUUUGAUGAUUGAUGUUUCCAUCAUCAUUUAUACAAAAUAUUUAACACUUUAAAUACUUUCAUAAAAUUAAUAUAUGUUUUGAUGAUUGAUGUUUCCAUCAU